UACGGAGGUGGCAAGCGUUGUUCGGAAUUACUGGGCGUAAAGGGCGCGUAGGCGGAAUGGUCCGUCCGAUGUGAAAGUGCUACCGCUCAACGGAGCAAAGCCAUCGGAAACCGCCAUUCUUGAGGUCGGGAGAGGUGAGUGGAAUUGCUGGUGUAGCGGUGGAAUGUAUAGAUAUCAGCAAGAACACCGGUGGCGAAGGCGGCUCACUGGCCCGACUCUGACGCUGAGUGCGCGAAAGCGUGGGGAGCAA
Molecule: ribosomal RNA, 250 nt
Filed under: uncultured bacterium
Lineage: Bacteria
Description: partial 16S ribosomal RNA
Rfam family: Bacterial small subunit ribosomal RNA
Source: RNAcentral